AGGCAAGCGGCAAAGAGCUCCUUUUCUCCUGCCUCUCAGCUGAUCGGCGGGUGGGCGGGGCUUCCAUGGAGGCCUCGUGUAGGCCUCUGUGAAGCCUGAACUCGAGUAGGGCCCAAGCCAGCCAGGAAGGAGGAGGCAGCCAGAGUGUUCUCUGCAGCAGAAGACCCCUUGCUGCACUGCUUAACCCAGACCAGCAUUUGCCAGGGGGAGAGCAACUGGCCCUAUCCAUCUCCAGCAAGGCAUCCCUCCAGUGGCUGUUGACUAUCACGUUGCUUUUAAAGACUGUGAGCCCUUUAGGGACAGGGAGCCAUUUUAUUUAUUUUAUUUAUAUCUAUGUAAACCGCUAUGGGAACUUCUGUUGAAAAGUGGUAUAUAAAUUUUUGUUGUAUUCAUGUGCUCAUUGUCACAAAUAAAAUGAAAGCUGCCCUCCUAUGCACACUUACCUAGAAGUAAAUCCCACUGGCCACAAUGGAACUUUCUUCUAAGUAAAUAUACAUAGGAUUGCACUGCAAAGGUA
Long non-coding RNA from Hemicordylus capensis (graceful crag lizard), 517 nucleotides. RefSeq lists it as uncharacterized. The transcript has 2 exons. The record is from RefSeq and is a predicted model, not a curated record. Lineage: Eukaryota; Metazoa; Chordata; Lepidosauria; Squamata; Cordylidae.